ACGCUGACGGAGCGAUCUUGGACACUGCUGCACCAAACCAACACCAAAAAGCUGUGGUAACACUGGGCCACCCUUUGCAGGUUGCUCACCCCUGGCAGAGAGAACAGCUCGCGCAACGCCCUUUCUAACACAGCUGAUCCAGCCAAAAACGGGAGGGCAAACGGUUCUAGCUCCACCGUUCACACUCUGAUCGGCGAUCGAUGAGUCAGCUGGUGUGAAGAAGGAUACCACAACUCACCUGGGUGGCGUGACGUUUGCUCGUCUUUUCGGAAGUUUUUGGCACCUUUGGAAGCAAACAGGAAC
Molecule: long non-coding RNA, 303 nt
Organism: Anopheles arabiensis
Lineage: Eukaryota; Metazoa; Arthropoda; Insecta; Diptera; Culicidae
Exons: 3
Source: RefSeq, a predicted model, not a curated record